CCAUUUCUCACCUUCCUCGUACCCCCUGUAACGCCAGCAUAUCACCACCGCUCCUCCGCCGUCCGCCGGCGGCGGCGAUGCACUGAUUGACCCCACAAUUACACUAUAGAUACUCCUCCAUCUCCUCUUUCCAUAUCCGGGUUUAGUUUCCUUCAAAUACCACCCCAAAUCUCCGAAUAACCAAAACCUUAGCACCCCCACCACCGUGCACGGCGGCGCCGCCGUCCAAACUCAACCAAACUCACACCCCAUAACCCCCAGGUCACCACAAACCCAUACUCUUGGUUAUUUCAUAGAAAACUCUAAUCGGAUGGCCCCAACUUCACAUCUAGGGUUCUAAGCAAGGUUGAAAUUGCGACUUAUGAUUACCAGUGUCUAAUGACCCUGAAAGUGAUAUUAUGUGUUUAUUUGACAUGGAAUAAACGUAUAAUAUUAAUUUUGGGGUCAAUUUCAAGUUAGUGCAUCAACGUCA
Molecule: long non-coding RNA, 472 nt
Filed under: Nicotiana benthamiana
Lineage: Eukaryota; Viridiplantae; Streptophyta; Magnoliopsida; Solanales; Solanaceae
Description: long non-coding RNA (NBEN_LNC022067)
Source: RNAcentral